RNAcentral lists this ribosomal RNA (484 nucleotides) under uncultured bacterium. RNAcentral's name for it is "partial 16S ribosomal RNA". It matches the Rfam family "Bacterial small subunit ribosomal RNA", at positions 30 to 507 of the family's 1533-position model. The record is from RNAcentral.
AUUGAACGCUGGCGGCAGGCCUAACACAUGCAAGUCGAGCGGAUGAAGGGAGCUUGCUCCUGGAUUCAGCGGCGGACGGGUGAGUAAUGCCUAGGAAUCUGCCUGGUAGUGGGGGAUAACGUCCGGAAACGGGCGCUAAUACCGCAUACGUCCUGAUGGAGAAAGUGGGUGAUCUUCGGACCUCACGCUAUCAGAUGAGCCUAGGUCGGAUUAGCUAGUUGGUGGGGUAAAGGCCUACCAAGGCGACGAUCCGUAACUGGUCUGAGAGGAUGAUCAGUCACACUGGAACUGAGACACGGUCCAGACUCCUACGGGAGGAAGCAGUGGGGAAUAUUGGACGAUGGGCGAAAGCCUGAUCCAGCCAUGCCGCGUGUGUGAAGAAGGUCUUCGGAUUGUAAAGCACUUUAAGUUGGGAGGAAGGGCAGUAAGUUAAUACCUUGCUGUUUUGACGUUACCAACAGAAUAAGCACCGGCUAACUUCGUG